Molecule: non-coding RNA, 418 nt
Organism: Anas platyrhynchos (mallard)
Lineage: Eukaryota; Metazoa; Chordata; Aves; Anseriformes; Anatidae
Source: RefSeq, a predicted model, not a curated record
GGUGCUUUGUGCGGUCGUGGACAGGAAAGGGAAAUCCUCGUGUCGCGGAGCAGUGAGGGAAGAGUAAAAUUCCAGUUUGCCUUUUGUUGAGGGAAUCUGGAAACAGCACAGAUCCCACGGCCUGCUGCAGCUGAGCAAACCAAGAUACCAGGGUAACGGUGAGAAGCUCCUAUGACAGUGUUCCCACAUCGCCCAACUGAGGAGUGCAGAAAAAUAUUGCUGCCAGCAGCUGAUACCAAAAACAAGGUCUACGUGACUACUAAUCACAAGGGGACUGUUUUCUUGCAGGUGGGGUUGUUUUCUUCUGGUUGUUUUUCUGAGUGCUUUGGCCAAUAACCUUGCGUGAAACACUGUCCACCCCUGUUGAGUUCUCUAUAAAAGUUAGGCUAUUCGGGCAAUAAAAUGGAGCAUGAUCUGA